GGCUGUGAGGGUGAUCUGACUGUGACAUCUGCCACCCCAUUGAUCGCCAGGGUUGAUUUGGCUGAUCCGACUGGUUAGUCGAGUGUCCCCUUCCUCCCUCACCCCUCCAUGUGUGUCUCUCCUGAAGCUGAGUGCUCAAUUGAAGAGGACUCCCAUCCCCGCUAGAGAAGGACCAUUCGCUUUCCCUGCCAGGAUCUCCAGAAAGCAGCUCGAGGUUCAGACAUGCUGUGGAAAGGCUGGGGAAUGAACACAGCACCUCUGAAAAUGU
Molecule: unclassified non-coding RNA, 268 nt
Organism: Carlito syrichta (Philippine tarsier)
Lineage: Eukaryota; Metazoa; Chordata; Mammalia; Primates; Tarsiidae
Gene: 7SK
Rfam family: 7SK RNA
About the family: 7SK was discovered as an abundant small nuclear RNA in the mid-70s but a possible function has only recently been suggested. Two independent studies have found that 7SK RNA binds the CDK9/cyclin T complex (known as elongation factor P-TEFb).
Source: Ensembl